GUUAGGAUGGCAGAGCCCGGAAUUGCAAAAGGUCUAAGCCCUUUCAACGGGGGUUCAAAUCCUCUUCCUAACU
RNAcentral lists this transfer RNA (73 nucleotides) under Zebrias crossolepis. Its description in RNAcentral is "tRNA-Leu". It matches the Rfam family "tRNA". Rfam says of the family: Transfer RNA (tRNA) molecules are approximately 80 nucleotides in length. Their secondary structure includes four short double-helical elements and three loops (D, anti-codon, and T loops). The record is from RNAcentral. Lineage: Eukaryota; Metazoa; Chordata; Actinopteri; Pleuronectiformes; Soleidae.